GACGUAGGGGGCGAGCGUUGUCCGGAAUUACUGGGCGUAAAGGGCGCGCAGGCGGUUUGGUAAGUCGGUUGUGAAAGGCCAAAGCUCAACUUAGGGAUAGCAACUGAUACUGCCGGGCUUGAGUGCAUUAGAGGAGAGCGGAAUUCCUGGUGUAGCGGUGAAAUGCGUAGAUAUCAGGAAGAACACCGGUGGCGAAGGCGGCUCUCUGGGGUGUAACUGACGCUGAGGCGCGAAAGCUGGGGGAG
RNAcentral lists this ribosomal RNA (245 nucleotides) under uncultured Bacillota bacterium. RNAcentral describes it as "uncultured Firmicutes bacterium partial 16S ribosomal RNA". It matches the Rfam family "Bacterial small subunit ribosomal RNA", at positions 524 to 768 of the family's 1533-position model. The record is from RNAcentral. Lineage: Bacteria; Bacillati; Bacillota.